GACGAACGCUGGCGGCGCGCCUAACACAUGCAAGUCGAACGGAGCUUAGAGAGCUUGCUUUUUAAGCUUAGUGGCGAACGGGUGAGUAACGCGUGAGUAACCUGCCCUGGAGUGGGGGACAACAGUUGGAAACGACUGCUAAUACCGCAUAAGCCCACGGUACCGCAUGGCACUGAGGGAAAAGGAUUUAUUCGCUUUAGGAUGGACUCGCGUCCAAUUAGCUAGUUGGUGAGGUAACGGCCCACCAAGGCGACGAUUGGUAGCCGGACUGAGAGGUUGAACGGCCACAUUGGGACUGAGACACGGCCCAGACUCCUACGGGAGGCAGCAGUGGGGGAUAUUGCACAAUGGGGGGAAACCCUGAUGCAGCGGCGCCGCGUGGAGGAAGAAGGUUUUCGGAUUGUAAACUUCUUUUAUUAAGGACGAAGAAAGUGACGGUACUUAAUGAAUAAGCUCCGGCUAACUACGUG
This 470-nucleotide ribosomal RNA is filed under the name uncultured bacterium. Its description in RNAcentral is "bacterial SSU rRNA". It matches the Rfam family "Bacterial small subunit ribosomal RNA", at positions 28 to 507 of the family's 1533-position model. The record is from RNAcentral.